GUGAAUCAUCGAAUCUUUGAACGCAUAUUGCGCUCAAGGCCUCGGCCAAGAGCAUGUCUGCCUCAGCGUCGGGUUUCAACUCAUGUUCUUCCUUCGACUGCUCAUUUACUUGAGUGAUUGGAAGGGGACAUGGACAUGGCAGUUCCCAAGGUGUCAUCUAGGCAUUCUGGGGAUCUGCUCAAACGAUAUGUUGCUUCGCCUCUCUCCUAUGAGUCGCAGCCGAGUAGUCAACUAGUUUGAUUGCUUGUCAGCCUGUGAUAACCAGGUUAUGAGGGCAGGUCGCCAUUGGCGAUCUGUUAA
This 300-nucleotide unclassified non-coding RNA is filed under the name uncultured fungus. RNAcentral describes it as "sequence contains 5.8S rRNA gene, ITS2". The stretch from base 1 to 71 matches the Rfam family "5.8S ribosomal RNA", at positions 84 to 154 of the family's 154-position model. Lineage: Eukaryota; Fungi. The record is from RNAcentral.